RNAcentral lists this ribosomal RNA (495 nucleotides) under uncultured Comamonas sp. RNAcentral describes it as "partial 16S ribosomal RNA". Lineage: Bacteria; Pseudomonadati; Pseudomonadota; Betaproteobacteria; Burkholderiales; Comamonadaceae. The record is from RNAcentral.
CACGUAGUUAGCCGGUGCUUAUUCUUACGGUACCGUCAUGACCCCAGGGUAUUAACCCAGGGCUUUUCGUUCCGUACAAAAGCAGUUUACAACCCGAAGGCCUUCAUCCUGCACGCGGCAUUGCUGGAUCAGGCUUGCGCCCAUUGUCCAAAAUUCCCCACUGCUGCCUCCCGUAGGAGUCUGGGCCGUGUCUCAGUCCCAGUGUGGCUGAUCGUCCUCUCAGACCAGCUACAGAUCGUCGGCUUGGUAAGCUUUUAUCCCACCAACUACCUAAUCUGCCAUCGGCCGCUCUAGUAGCACAAGGUCUUGCGAUCCCCUGCUUUCAUCCGUAGAUCUCAUGCGGUAUUAGCCACUCUUUCGAGUAGUUAUCCCCCACUACUAGGCACGUUCCGAUGUAUUACUCACCCGUUCGCCACUCGUCAGCAUCCGAAGACCUGUUACCGUUCGACUUGCAUGUGUAAGGCAUGCCGCCAGCGUUCAAUCUGAGCCAGGAUA